GACGAACGCUGGCGGCGUGCUUAACACAUGCCAGUCGAACGGAAAGACCCUGCGCUUGCGGCGUGCUCGAUAGGCGAACGGGGGAGUAACACGUGAGUAACAUCCCCUUGACUUUGGGGGAACUUCUGGGAACAGGGGCUAAUAUCCGGGAGAAUAUCCUGCUCCAUGGUGGGCAUUAGAAAGUUACGGCGGUUGGGGAUGGACUGGCUGCUUAUCAGCUUGUUUGGGGGGUAGUUGCUUACCAGGGUUAUGACGGGUAGCCUGCCUGGGCGAGUGACCAGCCACAUUGGUCCUGCGAUACGGCCCAGACUCCUACGGGACGCAGCAGUGGGGAACAUUGCACAAUGGGCGGAAGCCUGAUGCAGCAACGCCGCGUGCGUGAUGCCGGCCUUCGGGUUGUAAACAGCUUUCGCCUGUGACGAAGCGUGAGUGACGGUAAUGGGUAAAGAAGCACCGGCUAACUACGUG
Molecule: ribosomal RNA, 468 nt
Filed under: uncultured bacterium
Lineage: Bacteria
Description: partial 16S ribosomal RNA
Rfam family: Bacterial small subunit ribosomal RNA
Source: RNAcentral